UGGGGAAUCUUCGGCAAUGGACGAAAGUCUGACCGAGCAACGCCGCGUGUGUGAAGAAGGUUUUCGGAUCGUAAAACUCUGUUGGUAGAGAAGAACAAGGACGUUAUUAACUGAACGUCCCCUGACGGUACCUAACCAGAAAGCCACGGCUAACUCCGUGCCAGCAGCCGCGGUAAUACGUAGGUGGCAAGCGUUGUCCGGAAUUAUUGGGCGUAAAGCGAGCGCAGGCGGUUUCUUAAGUGUGAUGUGAAAGCCCCCGGCUCAACCGGGGAGGGUCAUUGUAAACUGGGAGACUUGAGUGCAGAAGAGGCGGGUAGAAUUCCAGGCGUAGCGGUGAAAUGCGUAGAUAUAUGGAGGAACACCAGUGGCGAAGGCGGCUCUCUGGACUGUAACUGACGCUGAGGCUCGAAAGCGUGGGGAGCAAACAGG
This 429-nucleotide ribosomal RNA is filed under the name Gemmatimonadota bacterium. RNAcentral's name for it is "Gemmatimonadetes bacterium partial 16S ribosomal RNA". It matches the Rfam family "Bacterial small subunit ribosomal RNA", at positions 355 to 776 of the family's 1533-position model. Lineage: Bacteria; Pseudomonadati; Gemmatimonadota. The record is from RNAcentral.